AGUGAACGCUGGCGGUAGGCCUAACACAUGCAAGUCGAACGGCAGCACAGUAAGAGCUUGCUCUUACGGGUGGCGAGUGGCGGACGGGUGAGGAAUACAUCGGAAUCUACUUUUUCGUGGGGGAUAACGUAGGGACACUUACGCUAAUACCGCAUACGACCUACGGGUGAAAGCAUGGGAUCUUCGGACCUUGCGCGAUUGAAUGAGCCGAUGUCGGAUUAGCUAGUUGGCGGGGUAAAGGCCCACCAAGGCGACGAUCCGUAGCUGGUCUGAGAGGAUGAUCAGCCACACUGGAACUGAGACACGGUCCAGACUCCUACGGGAGGCAGCAGUGGGGAAUAUUGGACAAUGGGCGCAAGCCUGAUCCAGCCAUACCGCGUGGGUGAAGAAGGCCUUCGGGUUGUAAAGCCCUUUUGUUGGGAAAGAAAAGCAGCAGGUUAAUACCCCGCUGUUCUGACGGUACCAAAAGAAUAAGCACCGGCUAACUUCGUG
This 492-nucleotide ribosomal RNA is filed under the name uncultured bacterium. RNAcentral's name for it is "partial 16S ribosomal RNA". It matches the Rfam family "Bacterial small subunit ribosomal RNA", at positions 29 to 507 of the family's 1533-position model. The record is from RNAcentral.